GUGGGGAAUUUUGGACAAUGGGCGCAAGCCUGAUCCAGCAAUGCCGCGUGCAGGAAGAAGGCCUUCGGGUUGUAAACUGCUUUUGUACGGAACGAAACGGCUCUGGUUAAUACCCGGGGCUAAUGACGGUACCGUAAGAAUAAGCACCGGCUAACUACGUGCCAGCAGCCGCGGUAAUACGUAGGGUGCAAGCGUUAAUCGGAAUUACUGGGCGUAAAGCGUGCGCAGGCGGUUGUGUAAGACAGGCGUGAAAUCCCCGGGCUCAACCUGGGAAUUGCGCUUGUGACUGCACAGCUGGAGUGCGGCAGAGGGGGAUGGAAUUCCGCGUGUAGCAGUGAAAUGCGUAGAUAUGCGGAGGAACACCGAUGGCGAAGGCAAUCCCCUGGGCCUGCACUGACGCUCAUGCACGAAAGCGUGGGGAGCAAACAGGAUUAGAUACCCGGGUAGUCC
RNAcentral lists this ribosomal RNA (450 nucleotides) under uncultured bacterium. RNAcentral describes it as "partial 16S ribosomal RNA". It matches the Rfam family "Bacterial small subunit ribosomal RNA", at positions 354 to 796 of the family's 1533-position model. The record is from RNAcentral.